AAAUUGAAGAGUUUGAUCAUGGCUCAGAUUGAACGCUGGCGGCAGGCCUAACACAUGCAAGUCGAACGGUAACAGGAAGCAGCUUGCUGCUUCGCUGACGAGUGGCGGACGGGUGAGUAAUGUCUGGGAAACUGCCUGAUGGAGGGGGAUAACUACUGGAAACGGUGGCUAAUACCGCAUAACGUCGCAAGACCAAAGAGGGGGACCUUCGGGCCUCUUGCCAUCAGAUGUGCCCAGAUGGGAUUAGCUAGUUGGUGAGGUAACGGCUCACCAAGGCGACGAUCCCUAGCUGGUCUGAGAGGAUGACCAGCCACACUGGAACUGAGACACGGUCCAGACUCCUACGGGAGGCAGCAGUGGGGAAUAUUGCACAAUGGGCGCAAGCCUGAUGCAGCCAUGCCGCGUGUAUGAAGAAGGCCUUCGGGUUGUAAAGUACUUUCAGCGGGGAGGAAGGUGUUGUGGUUAAUAACCACA
Molecule: ribosomal RNA, 474 nt
Filed under: Salmonella enterica
Lineage: Bacteria; Pseudomonadati; Pseudomonadota; Gammaproteobacteria; Enterobacterales; Enterobacteriaceae
Description: bacterial SSU rRNA
Rfam family: Bacterial small subunit ribosomal RNA
Source: RNAcentral